GUCUAUGAAGGCUGGAGAC
Molecule: unclassified non-coding RNA, 19 nt
Filed under: Clostridium perfringens SM101
Lineage: Bacteria; Bacillati; Bacillota; Clostridia; Eubacteriales; Clostridiaceae
Description: RNA (5'-R(*GP*UP*CP*UP*AP*UP*GP*AP*AP*GP*GP*CP*UP*GP*GP*AP*GP*AP*C)-3') from Clostridium perfringens SM101 (PDB 7EAG, chain B)
Source: RNAcentral